AACGUAGGACGCGAGCGUUAUCCGGAGUUACUGGGCGUAAAGCGCGGGCAGGCGGUCUGACAAGUCUGAUGUGAAAUCUCCGGGCUUAACCGGGAGAGGCCAUUGGAAACUGACAGGCUGGAGGGCAGUAGAGGUAGGCGGAAUUCCGGGUGGAGUGGUGAAAUGCGCAGAUAUCGGGAAGAACACCCGUGGCGAAGGCGGUUCUCUGGGACGGUACUGACGCUGAGACGCGAAAGCGUGGGGAGCGAACAGG
RNAcentral lists this ribosomal RNA (253 nucleotides) under uncultured bacterium. RNAcentral describes it as "partial 16S ribosomal RNA". It matches the Rfam family "Bacterial small subunit ribosomal RNA", at positions 524 to 776 of the family's 1533-position model. The record is from RNAcentral.